GAUGGAGAACGUAGCGAAAUGCGAUAAGUAAUGUGAAUUGCAGAAUUCAGUGAAUCAUCGAAUCUUUGAACGCACAUUGCGCCCGCCAGUAUUCUGGCGGGCAUGCCUGUUCGAGCGUCAUUUCAACCAUCAAGCCCCCGGCUUGUGUUGGGGACCUGCGGCUGCCGCAGGCCCUGAAAACCAGUGGCGGGCUCGCUAGUCACUCCGAGCGUAGUAAUACAUCUCGCUCAGGGCGUGCUGCGGGUUCCGGCCGUUAAAAAGCCUUAUUUACCCAAGGUUGACAUCGGAUCAGGUAGGAAGACCCGCUGAACUUAAGCAUAUCAAUAAGCGGAGGA
Molecule: unclassified non-coding RNA, 335 nt
Filed under: soil metagenome
Description: partial contains 5.8S ribosomal RNA, internal transcribed spacer 2, and large subunit ribosomal RNA
Rfam family: 5.8S ribosomal RNA (bases 1-120)
Source: RNAcentral